AUGAAAAGGUGGAUAUCGCGAUGAAAGUUCUAGAACAUGGGUCGUGCUACCUCGCGAGCAAAACCUCUAAGCCAGUACACGAUUGAUAACCUCUGACAGCACAUAUAUCUUCAUUUGAAAAACCGCUACAACAUGGGUCGUGCUACCUCGCGAGCAAAUCUCUAAGCUAGUACACAAUUCCUAAUCUGUGACAGCAUAUCUUCAUUUGAAAAAGAAAAUACUAAAAGAGCAAAGAAUCAAGGAUUCAAAUUCUUUAAUUGGAAUUAAGGGGGCAGAUGGUAGCAAGUCAAGAAAGUUGCGGAUGACUUAGACUUCUUUGCUUCACAGAAAGUUUUUGCAAGCAAUUAACAUUCUUGGAGAAAAGAGUAAUUAACAUAAGCAAUAUUUGUUUAGGAAGGCUAUUUUAGUUGCUUUUUAGGUUGCAAUGUUUAGCCCCGCAGGACUAUUUAUUUUUCUGCCUUGUAACGAGUUG
This 472-nucleotide long non-coding RNA is filed under the name Daucus carota (carrot). RNAcentral describes it as "long non-coding RNA (DCAR_LNC002611)". The record is from RNAcentral. Lineage: Eukaryota; Viridiplantae; Streptophyta; Magnoliopsida; Apiales; Apiaceae.